UUUCUUACAUCACUACAUAAGUGAAUAGUGGGAAAACAAAAGGGAAUACUGUUUUACUUCUUCAAGCCUUCAAAAAAAGUGGAAUGGAAGGAAAUAUUUUACACAGCUUUGAACAGUAUGUGAAAGGGAGCAGCAAAGAACAGGGACAUGAUACCUCUGCUGGCAAGGCAGGGACCUCACCGACCCGGGCCAAGCCUGCUGUCCACAGGAGAGGUGGUAAUCCUGUGGGAAGGCCUUGGUUACACAUACUGGUUUUGUUGAAAACUUUUAUCCUUCCAUGAUCAUUUUCUUCUGCUCUGAAAAUCUGAUAAACUUUUAAGGAAUGACCUAUUUUCAUGCACUCAAGAUGCUUACACAUCAGCUUGAUACAUAUGUUUUAAUGAUUCUAAUUAUACUGUGAGAGAGUAUUUUUGUCUGAGUUUCUGGGACAAUAUGCUUGUAAGCAUUCAUUGCUGUAUUUUUGAAUCUAGAAAAGGAGGAA
Molecule: long non-coding RNA, 481 nt
Filed under: Anas platyrhynchos platyrhynchos (common mallard)
Lineage: Eukaryota; Metazoa; Chordata; Aves; Anseriformes; Anatidae
Description: lncRNA (ENSAPLG00000019168.1)
Source: RNAcentral